Molecule: ribosomal RNA, 475 nt
Filed under: uncultured bacterium
Lineage: Bacteria
Description: SSU rRNA
Rfam family: Bacterial small subunit ribosomal RNA
Source: RNAcentral
AGAAUCAACGCUGGCGGCGUGCCUAACACAUGCAAGUCGAACGAGAAAGUGGAGCAAUCCAUGAGUAAAGUGGCGACCGGGUGAGUAACACGUGACUAACCUACCCUAAAGUGGGGAAUAACUCCGGGAAACCGGGGCUAAUACCGCAUAAAAUCGUCGUUUCUAAAGAAGUGACGAUCAAAGCAGCAAUGCGCUAUGGGAGGGGGUCGCGGCUGAUUAGCUAGUUGGCGGGGUAAUGGCCCACCAAGGCGAAGAUCGGUAUCCGGCCUGAGAGGGCGCACGGACACACUGGAACUGAAACACGGUCCAGACUCCUACGGGAGGCAGCAGUGGGGAAUUUUGCGCAAUGGGGGAAACCCUGACGCAGCAACGCCGCGUGGAGGAUGAAGCCCCUUGGGGUGUAAACUCCUUUCGACCAAGACGAUAAUGACGGUACUGGUGGAAGAGCACCGGCUAACUCUGCGCCAGCAGCCGC